GUGGGGAAUAUUGGACAAUGGGCGAAAGCCUGAUCCAGCAAUGCCGCGUGAGUGAUGAAGGCCUUAGGGUUGUAAAGCUCUUUUACCCGGGAAGAUAAUGACUGUACCGGGAGAAUAAGCCCCGGCUAACUCCGUGCCAGCAGCCGCGGUAAUACGGAGGGGGCUAGCGUUGUUCGGAAUUACUGGGCGUAAAGCGCGCGUAGGCGGACCAGAAAGUUGGAGGUGAAAUCCCAGGGCUCAACCUUGGAACUGCCUUCAAAACUCCUGGUCUGGAGUUCGAGAGAGGUGAGUGGAAUUCCGAGUGUAGAGGUGAAAUUCGUAGAUAUUCGGAGGAACACCAGUGGCGAAGGCGGCUCACUGGCUCGAUACUGACGCUGAGGUGCGAAAGCGUGGGGAGCAAACAGGAUUAGAUACCCCAGUAGUCC
Molecule: ribosomal RNA, 425 nt
Filed under: uncultured bacterium
Lineage: Bacteria
Description: partial 16S ribosomal RNA
Rfam family: Bacterial small subunit ribosomal RNA
Source: RNAcentral